Molecule: unclassified non-coding RNA, 7053 nt
Filed under: Orussus abietinus
Lineage: Eukaryota; Metazoa; Arthropoda; Insecta; Hymenoptera; Orussidae
Description: serine/threonine-protein kinase 10, transcript variant X5
Source: RNAcentral
UCCAUGCUGCGUCGCGCUCGGUAGCGCUGACGCGUUACGUCACUUCCAGGCGUGGUGUUUCGAGUGUGCCGUGCGUGCGCUGAAAAUGGCCGUCCACCUCGGGACACGCUGACUUAGCCGAUUUAUCGAGAGCGAGUCCUGCCUCGAUCGACUCCGACGAGUUCCGCGCGCGCGUCGCGUCGAGGAGUCGUCCGCGUCUCGGCGAGGGCAUCGCUGAUUCCAAGGUCGUAGGACGUCGGAUUUCGCGCGAGGAGUCGCCGUGGUCGAGAGAAUCUUCGUGCAUCAGUGACUCGGAAAUAGUACAAAAAUUCAAUGGAAAUGGGCUUUGUUUACAACACAUGGAUCUGUGCACGAUUAAGCGAAAUGGGCAUUUCGGUUAAUUAACAAACACCUGAUACAAGUUGAUCAAGAUGCGGGAAAGAUGUAGCACGGUCCCCUGGAGGAUAGUGGGGAUCAUCUGAACAAUGCAGUUUAUUUAAAAUAAUAUAUAUUUAAUUAAUAACUCUUCACUUAAAUUGCAAACAAUGGAAGCCUCGGUAACGAGGGUGGUAAAUAUAAAGUGUGCUUGCAUUAAACUAAACGGAUGAUAUGUAAAACUAUUAAUCCAACUUAAUGAAUUCGGUAAUGGAGAAAAUAAGUAACAUGAGCUUCGUUCAGGCAAUUAGAUAUUAAAGUAAUCUCUGGAGUGCACUUUUUAUGAACAUUUUCCUCGUGAUAGUAACCAAAUUUAUACUUUUGUACACUUUUAAUAUUACUCAAAUGAGUGUCAAUUACUAUUUGGAGUAUCGCACGACUUAUGUUACUAAGAAUUAUGUAAAGUAGUGUGCAUUUCAUACGGGUGUGGAAUAUAAGACUGCAAAGAUGUCAUUCUUAUCGAAUCUUAAGAAGGCAUUCCACUUUGGUGGCAAUGAUGCAAAGAAGAAGAAAGUGUACAACAACAUCAAGAUGGAUUGUGAUCCAGAAGAAUUUUGGGAAAUGAUAGGCGAGCUUGGCGAUGGGGCAUUUGGAAAAGUAUACAAGGCACAACAUAAACAAACUCAGCAGCUGGCUGCUGCAAAAAUGUGUGCUUUGGAAGGAGAAGACGAUCUCAGUGAUUUUAUGAUCGAGAUCGACAUCCUCUCGGAGUGUAAACAUGAAAAUGUUGUUGAGCUGCACGAAGCAUACUUUAUCGAUGGAAAAUUAUGGAUGUUAAUUGAAUACUGUGAUGGAGGCGCUCUGGAUUCCAUAAUGGUUGAGUUAGAGAAGCCACUGACAGAACCUCAAAUAGCAUAUGUUUGUCAGCAUAUGACGAGAGGUCUAACCUUUUUACAUAAGUCAAAAGUCAUUCACAGGGAUUUAAAGGCUGGCAAUGUUUUACUUACAAUGGCUGGAGGUGUCAAAAUAGCUGACUUUGGUGUGUCGGCGAAGAAUAAGCACACUCUACAAAAACACGAUACCUUUAUUGGUACACCCUACUGGAUGGCUCCGGAAGUGGUUUUGUGUGAAACAUUCAGAGACAAUCCAUAUGACUUCAAAGUGGAUAUUUGGUCCCUUGGUAUAACGUUAAUAGAGUUUGCACAAAUGGAGCCGCCGAAUCACGAAAUGUCGCCAAUGCGUGUCUUAUUGAAAAUUCAGAAAAGCGAUCCUCCUAAACUUGACCAGCCCGGAAAAUGGAGUAAGGAUUUUCAUGACUUUAUAGCGAAGGCAUUAACGAAGGAUCCUACUGCUCGACCCACGGCUGAGGAGUUAUUGAAGCAUGCGUUUAUAAAUAGAGAUUUGGAUUCGAAACCAAUAAGGGAUUUGCUGCUCGAGUACAAGGCUGAUGUUGUCGAAGAAGAGCUGGUUGAUGAGGAAGCCGAGCGCACGUCGCAGUUACCCCUCGAGCUGGACCAACUCGGAGAUGAUUCCGCAUCUAUGCGCAGCGACACUGACAUUAAGAUUGCGGAGAAGGAGAAUGUCGUGUCACCGGUGUCUGCGAAGAGGGAAGAGAGUAACAAGCGGGAGAUCAAUCGGGACGGCGAAAAGGAAGAAAGGAAUAAGAAGCUCCGCAAAGCAGACUCCAGAGAGAACAUUUCCCUGUCUGUAGAAAAGAAGCAGGCACCGAAACCACCCGUGACGAAUGAGACCAAUGAACGAAGAGCCUCUAGGGAAAAGGGUCCAGCACCUCCACCACCAGCGACUCGUCAGGAUAGCAAGAGUGAUGAAAAAGAAAAUAUUCCAAAGACUGCCGAUAAACCGAACGCCGUGGAAACGUCCAAUAUUCGAAGGCCUGUUGAUGAGAAACCAGACAAAGGUCCGGUAUUGCAAAACCACGAAAAAGGAGAUAAGCCGAGAAAAAGUAACGAGAACCAAAAGAGAGCCGCUGACAAGAGACCUAGCAUCGAUGGUUCGGAACAUAUAAAGGCUCCGAUGGUCGAGGAUAAAAAGAAAAGUGUUUCGGAACCGAAAAACGUCGAAUCCAGACCGAAAUCGGUGGACAACAAGAAAAGCUUAUUGACGGAGAAAAAGGCGAGUUUAGAUGAAAAACGAAAAUCGGCUCCUGUUAGGUCGGACUCCAUCGACGAGUGGAAAAAGCCAGCGUAUGGGAAACAGAGUUCGUUGGAGGAGAAGAGAAGAUUCGAGCAGAAGUCGUCAGUGGAGGAUGGGCUCAGGUUUCAGAAGCAAUUGCCAAAAGAGGAGCAUCAUAUGAACAAGAGCUUGGAGGAGAAAAGGAAGUCCGUAGAAGAGAAAUUAAAUGCAGUGUUAGAAAAGCGGAUGUCUAUUGAAUCGGCGAAGCGUUCGAGCGAUGUAUCCAUGCAGACGUUCGUACAAACGCCGGAUGCCACGACUCCGUCCAUUCUUCUCGAUAAAAGCCCCGUGAAAGCGAGCUCAACGGAAGAUAUCAAGACGGACUUUGGUAUUUCGAAGAAUCGCAAUCUCGCGAAAAGCCGAAGCGAAGGUUCAUCAAGGAAUGAUUCACUGGAGAACCUGUCUGAUGACCUCGAGGGAAAAGAUACAGCUGUAAAAUCCGCGGGCAGAAAGGGUGAAGGUGAAGACACGCCCGAUCGAAGUACAGGCAGUGAACGAACGGAUUCUACUGUAAACGUUUCCGUCAUUACCUCAACGCCUCUAAGAAGCAGAAGUGUGUCCAGAAGUGGUAGCGGGGAUAACAUAGUUGUCAUUACUGGUAAAUCUCAACCGGAACAAGACAUUCGCCCAAAUACGUCAACUGUGAGGAUAACAGCUGAUUCUCCGGAUCCAUCGAACAGUCUCGCGAGUAACAUAAGUCAGGUCACCGUUGUUACUACGCAUCCUCCGGUACUGGUAGAUGCAGCAGCUACACCACCACCUCAUCGGCCAUCACCGUCGUCAGAAGUGAUUAUAGUUGCUAACGAGACUAACAAGACUCAAGUAAACGAGAGCUCCACCGAUGACGACGGCUUCCCGAGCUUGGACAGCUUGGAGUACACUCCUCAGGAGCAACCUAUCGUUAUCACCGACACGCCGAAGAGAAUCGGCAAGAAGUUAGACGAGUCGGAGGUGAUCAUAGUCAGUCCGAUCGUGGACGAGUUGCAGGAUACUAGUCACGUCUCGGUCGUUACCGUAGGUGACGACAAGGAGCAAGUUAAGGACUCCUCGAUCGUUAGUAAGCGUACAAUCGUUAGGACGGGAUCGUCACACAGCGAUUUCAGUUCUACCGAGAGGUCCAGCUCGAAGAGCGACAGCGGAGACGACAGCAAAACGGCCAUGGUAGUCUCCGCAACCACUAUGGAGGCGACGGACGUCGACGACUUGGCCGAUAGAAACUUGAAAAUAAUGAAUGGUCAGAUACGAAGCGAAAGGGUGUCCUUGGCUCGCGACGACGAGAGGACGGCGAAGACCUCGAAACAGAAGGAGGUCGACUCUAAGCAUCUCAAAGAGAAACGCGUGUCACCUGACAGUUUUGAGGGGUCCAGGUCUCACAGCGAUUCUGGAUCAACUAGAUCACAUACACCUAGCAAGAGUAUAGACCGUUCGGAUGCCGAAUCCAUAUCCACGACGAUUAGUCAAGACAGUCGCGGCUCUAAUAAGGAGAACCACUUCACGGGGAGGGAAUCGCGUCAGUCGUCCGAACUGGACGACGAGAUAGUACUACGCAGAAAGCCUGAUUAUAACAGGGACAUCCCUAGACAAACUAGAACGAAAGAGGAUAUUCAGAUGAUGAAUCUGAAGAAGAAAACCAGGAAGAGGACGAGGAAGUUCGAAAUCGACGGAGUGGUCGUAACGACUACGACGUCGAAAGUCAUAUACGGAGAUGACGAGAACGGGAAGGUAUACGACGACCAAAUCUUCCGAAAGCAGGAGCUCAGAGAAUUGAAGAUGCUGCAGAAGAUGGAGCAGAAACAAUUCCAAGACCUUUCGCAGAAGGCUCAGUUCAAUAAAGACCAGCAGGAGAAACGGUUCGAACAUGAGAGGCAAAUUUUGGAGCGAGCUGCUGAAACUGAUCUGGAAGCUCUUGCCAGACAACAAAGGCAGCAAAUCGAGAGAGCCGAGACACAACAGGAGGCUGAUUUAAGACUGGCGUCGAAAAAGAUACGCAGUGAACAAGAACGAGAGUUGAAGCAAUUCCGGGAAGGCUUGAAACAGGAAUUGAGAUUACUUAAACAGGAAGUUGACCUGAUGCCAAAGGAGAAGAGGAAGAGCGCGUUCAAAAUGCGAAAGGAGAAGCUGGAGGCUGAACACGAGGAACGCGAGAAGCUUUUCUUGGAGAAGCUGAAUGAAAGUCACGAAACGUCAUUGAGAAGGCUAUCCGACAGUCAUCGUGAGAAGAUAGCGUUGAUGGAGCGACAAUUCUUACAGCAGAAACAGCAGCUGAUGAGGGCGCGAGAAGCGGCGAUUUGGGAAUUGGAGGAACGCCAGAUACACGAGAGGCAACAGUUGUUGAAGAAACAGCUGAAGGAUACCUUCUUCUUGCAGCGGCAUCAGAUGCUUGUCCGCCACGAGAAGGAACUCGAACAAAUGAAGAGGAUGAAUCAGAGGAAGGAAGAGGAGCUGAUCAAGAGACAAGCCGUCGAAAGGAGGAAUCUACCUAAAAGAAUUCGCAACGAGAUGAAGGCACGCGAAAUGAUGUUCAGGGAGUCCUUGCGAAUAUCCAUGGCUUCGGCUCUUGCUCCUGACCCUGACGCCGAAAGGGAGAAACUGAAGAAGUUCCAGGAGAACGAGAAGAAGAGAUACAGGGCAGAGCAGCAGCGUUUCGAGCUGAAACACGCGAGGCAGCUCGAAGAAGUUCGGGCCCAGAGCGACGCUACUAUCAAGGAGCUCGAGCAACUUCAAAACGAGAAGAGGAAGAUGCUGAUGGAGCACGAGACAAUGAAGCUGAAAGCGCAGGAGGAAACCUACACGAAGGAGCUCAAGGAAUGGAAGGCACAGUUGAAGCCGCGUAAGCAGAAGCUAGAGGCAGAACUGGCGACCGAAAGGGAAGCGUUGGAAGCCCGCUACCGGGACUAUUUGCCCCCUCGUCUAAGUGGUUCUUCAUUCGCCACUUUUGACAUUUCCGUCAUCUCGACUCCUCCCGCCUGGAAGAAAUCUCCUCGGCUCUCCAAAUCCAUUCCUAACUCGCCUUCCCCAUUUAGCAUUCCGAGGGUGUCGCUAAAAUUCGAAGGCUCCGAAACGAGCUCGCUGAGCAGCACUCUUCCUCGAAGCCAUUCCAAACCCGACUUGGUGCCUCAUUCUCCUCGUAGAUAGUCUUUCGUGUCUUAUUGGCAAAGCUGGGCAAUGUUUGAAAGUACUAUUCGAAAUACCAUUGAAAGUAUAACGUGUUUUCGACGUCGUUUCCAUACAGGAACAUACACUUUAAACUUGUGUUUUCACGUGCGAAGUUAAAGUUCUGAUAAAUUUCGACAUCUUAAAGUGCACGUAAAGACAACAAAUACUACAGAAAAAGAGCAAACGAUAUCCGGGAUAAUGAAAUGCAUUUUACAAAUGGAUGUCUGGACCAGCAGUAGCGACCUUCAAGAAGUAAUGUCUCAUAGAUACUUUGUGUUUUCAUCCGUUGAGAUUAAUAAUUGUAUUUAAAAUGUUCCUUGGAGUAUAGAAUGUUAUCGAUUUCGAAAAGUAUUUUCAAAUGAGCUUUCUGAGUCAUGUUUGACAGAGGUGACGAUUUAAUUUACAGUAGUGCUUAGCGUGAUAAUGGUUCUGAAGUUGAGAUUCUUCAAUGAGGACCGUCUAAUCUGGUGUUAUCUCUGUCGAAUGUGACCAUUUUGUGUUCGUCCGUCCUUGUGGGUACACUUUAGAUUGUUGUUCAUUCAUCGAAAGAGAUCAUUUUGGAAAUCUCCGUACUCCUGCGUUGUCUUUCUAACGUUAGGGUAUUCCUUUAGUCAUUUGUCGUACAAAUUCCCGGAUGGCGAUUCUGCAUCUGUCAUUAAUUUCAAAGUGGUUACAAAUGCCAUCCCACUUACUAAUACAGAAUACAGGGUUAUCGACGAGCUUCUUUCUCAUUUGUAAGUAAGGGUGUGAGUCAUUAAGAGAAGAUUGUUUCCUACUAGUCCCUUGUCACAAUUUAAAUAUUCGUAGUUAUCAGGAAGUGUUUUAACGACAUCGAAUGGACUUCAAGUAUCUGUUCAUAACAAUCGGAGCUUCUGUGUUGUGUCACAUUCACGUCUACAUUCGUUUGCUUCGUAUUUUCGUCUGCGUUAUUCGCUACAAAGGGCGGGUCCAUUAACGCACGGUGUCCAAUUUAAUAUCUAAUAACCUUCCACGUCUCGUGUUCAUUAGUUAAUGAUAAAAAUGCGGUAGAUGCAAGUAGAAAGCAAAAAAAAACAUUAAGUAUCACGGUGUAGCUUUUCUGGGUUUCCCUGGCGUCAUGUUUAUGUAUUAUGUAAAUCGUGAUCGUAUUUUCCUGCAAAGAGAUUACUCUUCCGAAUACCUUAAGGGGAGUCGUUCGUAAAGAUCUGACAAUUGGAUACCCGAAGGGUGCUGAAAAGAGAUUGGAAGAACAAUUCGCCUUGCAGCUGGAGGAGCAAGAGGCGAUUUUCGGACCAAGUGCGAUACCUUUAUGUCUGCCACCUGAUCUUCCCGACCUUACACACCACACCGCAGGUUCUACACGCAGUUCGU